AUGCAGCUGGUAAAGAUGAACAUCACUCAACACUGUGUGGAGCAGCUGAGCAGUUCUAGAGCCUCAGAAGUCAUAACUCCAAAUAGUGACACAGAAUUGUCUCUUGAGGGUGACAAUGUGACACUCUCCUGUAACUACAGCGGUUCUGCUCAUGCUGUUCACUGGUAUCGGCAAUAUGCAGGAUCACCACCACAGUUCCUCAUACUGGAAGAUUCAGGGGCAACAAUUCCAGCUAAUCCACCCGUUCCAGGAAUAACCAUCAGUCACAGAAAAACAGAACUCCAUGUGGAUCUGAUCAUCUCCUCUGCUAAAGUCACAGACUCCGCUCUGUACUACUGUGCUCUGAGGCCCACAGUGACAGGAAAACAAGCUACACUGUACAAAACCUGA
Non-coding RNA from Carassius gibelio (silver crucian carp), 390 nucleotides. The record is from the annotation of a RefSeq genome assembly. NCBI's taxonomy places the organism in Eukaryota, Metazoa, Chordata, Actinopteri, Cypriniformes, Cyprinidae.